GUGAUGGGUUUCCAGAUGUGCCGGACCAGCUGGCUGACCAAAUAAAAUCACAUGAAAAACAAUGCCUUACAGUAACAACAGUAGCACAAAUUGCAAUUAUAUGGUGCCUUUCACAACGGGAGGAUGUCCCAAGGAGCAGGACAGAAGAGGGUUUGCCCCCAAGAUGGAUUUGGAUUUCCCAACAUUCUUCGCCAGUAAUUGCCAGCAUCAGGAAUUAUGCAUAAUUGCUGGAGGUGCAAUGGAUGUUAAUACCGCACUUCAAGAAGUGCUGAAAACGUCAUGCAUCCACAUUGGCUAAGCUCGGGGCAUCCGUGAAGCCGCCAUGGCAUUGGACAAAAUGCCCACCUGCGUGUCAUGUCAAAGAAGAAAAACCUCACAAAGUUGUCGACUGCAGUUGUAAAGGAAUAUGGCAACGAAAUUCCCGCCAAAGAUGUAAUUGAAGAAUACUUCAACUCAAAGAAACAGACGAUGCAGAAAUAAAGAACAAGCUUCAUUUACUGACUUUUUAUUUUGAUGCUGGCCUAUUUUCUGUUUGUCACGAGGCAAAGUGCAUUAAACGUAUCUCCUAAUCCCUGAUAA
Long non-coding RNA from Callorhinchus milii (elephant shark), 579 nucleotides. RefSeq lists it as uncharacterized. Lineage: Eukaryota; Metazoa; Chordata; Chondrichthyes; Chimaeriformes; Callorhinchidae. The transcript is spliced from 4 exons. The record is from RefSeq and is a predicted model, not a curated record.